This is an RNA transcript of Tribolium castaneum (red flour beetle), 992 nucleotides long. RefSeq lists it as uncharacterized. Lineage: Eukaryota; Metazoa; Arthropoda; Insecta; Coleoptera; Tenebrionidae. The record is from RefSeq and is a predicted model, not a curated record. The transcript is spliced from 2 exons.
UGAAAGUGCCAGUACUGAUAAGUACUAGCCCUCGUGGGCUUGUCUAGUGCCAAAUACGAGGGCUCAACAAUCUUGAGUUUAGCAUUGAAAUCGAAAAUGUUGGAACCGCCAUUCAGGCUGAAAAACACUACCACAAAUCGAGACAAGCUUUAGGUUUGGGAAAAAUUACUUUUGACCAAUAUUUACGCCACGUUGAGAUUAAUGCUUAUUUGGCCCAACUGGCUAAAGACUACCCCGACACUGUCACUCUAGAAACAAUCGGACAGUCGUACGAAAAACAUUCCCCGACUACAAUCCGAUCUAUUCUUACAGCAUCUCCUCUUUCACGACAGCUUAUACCGUUUAUAGAUAUGUGUCUAUCGAGGAGAAUCAUCGGCACGACCAUCAAUCCUGAAUACCCCGAAAUAUUGUGGAUUUCAUUUCCUGAUCAAGCUGGUUUGGGUAACUGAACCGUUAAAACCCAUCAGACCGGCUUCCAAUUAUUAAAGUCCAAUAUCAAAAAGGAGUCUUUGCAUUUCUACUAAAACAAUAUAAACUCUGUAAUUCAUGUUUUAUUAUAACUAUAUAUAAAUAUGAAAUAUGAAAUGGAACAGAUUUAGUUGAUCGAAACUGAAAUUAACAUGCCGCGUUGAACUUAAAAAUAGCUACUUUAAAUUCAAACAAAAACUGAACCGGUUUCUCUGGUAUGUUAAGAGCCAAGAAUUGCUUUUGCGCAACAAAUGUUAAUGAAACGUUCACCCAUAGAAUUAACAGCUAUCUCAAUGCGACCUUCUAGCGAUGACUCUCUAGCGUCAAGUUGCAGAUCAUCCAGAACGUGAAUAACAUCCUUGCGUUGCAGGCACAUCACAGAUCCUUUCUUGUCAGAAUCCACAUGCAUUGCCAUAACAAAAGAAAGAGAAGGAGAUUUCUUACGCUCAUCAAAAUACUUCUUAUUUGUGAAAACAUUGUAGUACCGAUUUUGAAAGAUUUGUUUAAAUGCGUCUUGUACAGUA